RNAcentral lists this unclassified non-coding RNA (380 nucleotides) under Staphylococcus hyicus. Lineage: Bacteria; Bacillati; Bacillota; Bacilli; Caryophanales; Staphylococcaceae. The record is from RNAcentral.
AAGGAUAAUAUACGGAAUAUCGCCUUAGGCGAUACGGAAUAACGAAGACAUAUUGUAUUCAGUUUUGAAUGCUCAUUUUGAGGAUUCAACAUUGUACAUUGAAAACUAGAUAAGUAAGUAUAGAUUUUACCAAGCAAAACCGAGUGACAAGCGAAAAGCUUGAAACAAAAAAUUAUCGCUAGUCGUCGACAGACGACUCACAAUAAUUAAUAACUGGUGGAUGGUAAGUAGUGCAUAUGUUAUAGAUACGAUAAACGUGAAUUGAAAACGUUUGUCAGUCUAUGAAUCGCAAACAAGAGCGAAGGCSUUACUUCCGUAAGCAACUGAGUGAUUUGUGCCGCGAUGAAGCCGAAUGCAAACGAUUGCCAAAACAUCAUAAA